UGCAGUCGACGAUGAGCUCCAGCUUGCUGGGGGGAUUAGUGGCGAACGGGUGAGUAACACGUGAGUAACCUGCCCUUGACUCUGGGAUAAGCGCUGGAAACGGCGUCUAAUACCGGAUACGAGCUUCAGCCGCAUGGCUAGGAGUUGGAAAGAAUUUUGGUCAAGGAUGGACUCGCGGCCUAUCAGCUAGUUGGUGAGGUAAUGGCUCACCAAGGCGACGACGGGUAGCCGGCCUGAGAGGGUGACCGGCCACACUGGGACUGAGACACGGCCCAGACUCCUACGGGAGGCAGCAGUGGGGAAUAUUGCACAAUGGGCGCAAGCCUGAUGCAGCAACGCCGCGUGAGGGACGACGGCCUUCGGGUUGUAAACCUCUUUUAGUAGGGAAGAAGCGAAAGUGACGGUACCUGCAGAAAAAGCACCGGCUAACUACGUGCCAGCAGCCGCGGUAAUACGUAGGGUGCAAGCGUUGUCCGGAAUUAUUGGGCGUAAAGAGCUCGUAGGCGGUUUGUCGCGUCUGCUGUGAAAUCUGGGGGCUCGACCCUCCAGCCUGCAGUGUGUACAGCAGACUAGAGUGCGGUAGGGAGAUUGCUACUCUGAUGUAGCGGUGGAUGCGCAGAUAUCAGAG
Molecule: ribosomal RNA, 628 nt
Filed under: Frigoribacterium sp.
Lineage: Bacteria; Bacillati; Actinomycetota; Actinomycetes; Micrococcales; Microbacteriaceae
Description: bacterial SSU rRNA
Rfam family: Bacterial small subunit ribosomal RNA
Source: RNAcentral